Non-coding RNA from Trichobilharzia regenti, 46 nucleotides. NCBI's taxonomy places the organism in Eukaryota, Metazoa, Platyhelminthes, Trematoda, Strigeidida, Schistosomatidae. The record is from Rfam.
GUACUAAUGAAGAGUCCCAGACUAGGACGAAACAGGUGCCCAGUAC